GACGAACGCUGGCGGCGUGCUUAACACAUGCAAGUCGAACGGUAAGGCCCUGCUUGCAGGGUACUCGAGUGGCGAACGGGUGAGUAACACGUGGGUGAUCUGCCCUGCACUUCGGGAUAAGCCUGGGAAACUGGGUCUAAUACCGGAUAGGAGCCAUUUUUAGUGUGAUGGUUGGAAAGUUUUUUCGGUGUAGGAUGAGCUCGCGGCCUAUCAGCUUGUUGGUGGGGUAAUGGCCUACCAAGGCGGCGACGGGUAGCCGGCCUGAGAGGGUGGACGGCCACAUUGGGACUGAGAUACGGCCCAGACUCCUACGGGAGGCAGCAGUGGGGAAUAUUGCACAAUGGGCGCAAGCCUGAUGCAGCGACGCCGCGUGGAGGAUGACGGCCUUCGGGUUGUAAACUCCUUUCGCUAGGGACGAAGCUUUUUGUGACGGUACCUAGAUAAGAAGCACCGGCUAACUACGUG
This 465-nucleotide ribosomal RNA is filed under the name uncultured bacterium. RNAcentral describes it as "partial 16S ribosomal RNA". It matches the Rfam family "Bacterial small subunit ribosomal RNA", at positions 28 to 507 of the family's 1533-position model. The record is from RNAcentral.